RNAcentral lists this ribosomal RNA (763 nucleotides) under Ralstonia mannitolilytica. RNAcentral describes it as "bacterial SSU rRNA". It matches the Rfam family "Bacterial small subunit ribosomal RNA", at positions 61 to 813 of the family's 1533-position model. The record is from RNAcentral. Lineage: Bacteria; Pseudomonadati; Pseudomonadota; Betaproteobacteria; Burkholderiales; Burkholderiaceae. RNAcentral also lists the same sequence under 1 other name.
GUCGAACGGCAGCGGGGGAAAGCUUGCUUUCCUGCCGGCGAGUGGCGAACGGGUGAGUAAUACAUCGGAACGUGCCCUGUAGUGGGGGAUAACUAGUCGAAAGAUUAGCUAAUACCGCAUACGACCUGAGGGUGAAAGUGGGGGACCGCAAGGCCUCAUGCUAUAGGAGCGGCCGAUGUCUGAUUAGCUAGUUGGUGGGGUAAAGGCCUACCAAGGCGACGAUCAGUAGCUGGUCUGAGAGGACGAUCAGCCACACUGGGACUGAGACACGGCCCAGACUCCUACGGGAGGCAGCAGUGGGGAAUUUUGGACAAUGGGCGAAAGCCUGAUCCAGCAAUGCCGCGUGUGUGAAGAAGGCCUUCGGGUUGUAAAGCACUUUUGUCCGGAAAGAAAUGGCUCUGGUUAAUACCCGGAGUUGAUGACGGUACCGGAAGAAUAAGGACCGGCUAACUACGUGCCAGCAGCCGCGGUAAUACGUAGGGUCCAAGCGUUAAUCGGAAUUACUGGGCGUAAAGCGUGCGCAGGCGGUUGUGCAAGACCGAUGUGAAAUCCCCGGGCUUAACCUGGGAAUUGCAUUGGUGACUGCACGGCUAGAGUGUGUCAGAGGGAGGUAGAAUUCCACGUGUAGCAGUGAAAUGCGUAGAGAUGUGGAGGAAUACCGAUGGCGAAGGCAGCCUCCUGGGAUAACACUGACGCUCAUGCACGAAAGCGUGGGGAGCAAACAGGAUUAGAUACCCUGGUAGUCCACGCCCUAAACGAUGUC